RNAcentral lists this ribosomal RNA (423 nucleotides) under uncultured bacterium. RNAcentral's name for it is "bacterial SSU rRNA". It matches the Rfam family "Bacterial small subunit ribosomal RNA", at positions 359 to 773 of the family's 1533-position model. The record is from RNAcentral.
AGGCUUUGGCAAUGGGGGAAACCCUGACCAAGCGACGCCGCGUGGAGGAUGAAGGCCCUUGGGUUGUAAACUCCUUUUGCAGGGGAAGAAAUGCGAUCAGGUGAAUAAUCUGGUCGUUUGACGGUACCCUGCGAAUAAGCUCCGGCUAACUACGUGCCAGCAGCCGCGGUAACACGUAGGAGACGAGCGUUAUCCGGAUUUACUGGGCGUAAAGCGCGGGUCGGUGGGGUCUUAAGUCAUGCGUGAAAGCUCUCGGCUUAACCGGGAGAGGUCGUGUGAAACUGGGGCUCUCAGAGGUAGGUAGAGGCAGAUGGAAUUCCGGGUGGAGUGGUGAAAUGCGUAGAGAUCCGGAGGAACACCAGUGGCGAAGGCGAUCUGCUAGGCCUGACCUGACACUCAGCCGCGACAGCAUGGGGAGCGAAC